Molecule: long non-coding RNA, 310 nt
Organism: Humulus lupulus (European hop)
Lineage: Eukaryota; Viridiplantae; Streptophyta; Magnoliopsida; Rosales; Cannabaceae
Exons: 3
Source: RefSeq, a predicted model, not a curated record
AACUCUUAAUUUCAAAUAUUCAUAUCAGAUACGAGGACAGUGAAAGCAAUCCUGGUCACCCAUUUGCAGCAGGUGUGACCUUGGAGAAACUCUUAGCUGUGACAGUUGAUGACAAUGGGAAUGAGACUUUUAUUACUGGUGGUUCACUAGACCGUAUACAAAAGGUUUUUAGAUAUGGCACUAAAGAAGGCAAACCUGCUGAUAGAAUUGUCAAACAACACACUUAUAUUCUGGAACCAAUUACAGGAAAUGCAAAGUAUACAAAGUUAAGGGCAAAUGAAUUGGCUAAGAGUGAUUAACCUUUGCAGAA